Molecule: non-coding RNA, 126 nt
Organism: Cucumis sativus (cucumber)
Lineage: Eukaryota; Viridiplantae; Streptophyta; Magnoliopsida; Cucurbitales; Cucurbitaceae
Source: Rfam
AUGCACAAUCAUUCCCGGGCUACUCUGAAUUCUGAUUAUCUCCCUGACGGUGAUAGCCCCUUUCCUCGUGCUAGUCUGUCGCCGUUUAGUGCACGGCUGAUGUGUGUCAAAAUAACGGCCACAUCC